This 291-nucleotide unclassified non-coding RNA is filed under the name fungal sp. RNAcentral describes it as "partial internal transcribed spacer region". The stretch from base 1 to 46 matches the Rfam family "Eukaryotic small subunit ribosomal RNA", at positions 1786 to 1831 of the family's 1831-position model. Lineage: Eukaryota; Fungi. The record is from RNAcentral.
AAGUCGUAACAAGGUUUCCGUAGGUGAACCUGCGGAAGGAUCAUUAAUGAAGUUUUUUGGGUUUAAAAUUCCAAAAAAUAAUUCACCUUUUGUGCAUUGUUAUUAGAUACACUUUGGUUAGAGCUUUGAUUUCAUUUUUUUGAAAUCAACUUCUUGCUGACUCUAUCCUGUUGAAUGGGACAGUUGGCUAUGAAGCGGCCUACCAAGGUUUUUUAUCAAACUCUUGUAUUUUGUCUGACCUAAACUACUAUAAUUAAAUCAUAACUUUCAACAACGGAUCUCUUGGCUCUC